AGAGUUUGAUCAUGGCUCAGGAUGAACGCUAGCGGCAGGCCUAAUACAUGCAAGUCGGACGGGAUUCGGGACUUCGGUUCCGAUGAGAGUGGCGCACGGGUGCGUAACGCGUGAGCAACCUGCCCAUAUCAGGGGGAUAGCCCGGAGAAAUCCGGAUUAACACCGCAUAACACAGCAGUCUGGCAUCAGACCACUGUUAAAUAUUUAUAGGAUAUGGAUGGGCUCGCGUGACAUUAGCUGGUUGGCGGGGUAACGGCCCACCAAGGCGACGAUGUCUAGGGGCUCUGAGAGGAGAAUCCCCCACACUGGUACUGAGACACGGACCAGACUCCUACGGGAGGCAGCAGUAAGGAAUAUUGGUCAAUGGGGGCAACCCUGAACCAGCCAUGCCGCGUGCAGGAUGACUGCCCUACGGGUUGUAAACUGCUUUUGUCAGGGAAUAAACCUUUCCACGAGUGGGAAGCUGAAUGUACCUGAAGAAUAAGGAUCGGCUAACUCCGUGCCAGCCGCCGCGGUAAUUC
Molecule: ribosomal RNA, 521 nt
Filed under: uncultured bacterium
Lineage: Bacteria
Description: bacterial SSU rRNA
Rfam family: Bacterial small subunit ribosomal RNA
Source: RNAcentral